This 280-nucleotide ribosomal RNA is filed under the name Apicomplexa sp. RNAcentral describes it as "partial small subunit ribosomal RNA". It matches the Rfam family "Bacterial small subunit ribosomal RNA", at positions 28 to 323 of the family's 1533-position model. The record is from RNAcentral. Lineage: Eukaryota; Apicomplexa.
GAUGAACGCACAAGACGUGCCUAACACAUGCAAAUCGAAUGAAAACAAUAAUUCAAUUGUUUUCAUGGUGAACGGGUGAGUAACACAUAAGAAUCAGCUUUUAGAUAAGGCAUAAAAGAGUAAUAUCUUGGUAAUUCCUUAUAUGCGCAGCAGUGCUUAAAAAGGGGAGUCCCGUCUAAAAACGAGCUUAUGCCUGAUUAGCUAGUUGGCGAGUUAAAAGCUCACCAAGGCGAAGAUCAGUAGCUGGCCUGAGAGGGCGGCCAGCCACAUUGGGACUGAG